UUGGAAUUUUUUUUUUCAAAAACCGAAUUGGUUUCAACGCUGAGGUUGAAACCAGGUCGGUUUUUGCAAUUUUGUUUGAAUGAGGUCGUUUUUUGGGGUUAAGUUCACAAAUGGGUCCGUUUUGAAAAUUUGUCCACAUCUUUAUUCAUUGUGCAAGUUUAGAAACCCUUUUGUUUUAUUAUGAAUCUACGAAGUUGCUCAUUUCGUUAGGUGAAUGAAGUAGUAAGCGUUCUUUUCUAGGACAGUUCGUGCUGGUCAAUGAAAAUGUGUGCUUUUGUAAGGGUUACUAGUUGUGAGUUUGAAGGGAGAGGAAAGGGUUAAUAGGACAUAGUCACAUAGAUUAGAGAUGCAGUGGCUUAUGUUGAUGGUGGAGUUCGGUAAUCGACCUAUAGUUUAAAUUAUGACCCAGAAGAUUUUGAUGUGCAGAAGCUACAAGUCAUGUUACAAGAUGUCCUUUAUUUUAGCGAGAGGAGAUGUACCCACAAGACAUUGUAUGUAGUGUUGAUUAUUCACUUUCCGUUGAAAAAGGUAAGAUAAAUGAAAAAUGAAAUGUUUGAAGCUCUUUGAGAUAUGAAGAAAGCAUCAUAUUCAUAGGAAUGAAUGAAAUUAGAUGAGAACAUAAUACAUCUCUAGAACCAAUUGCUCCCUUUUGUAGCUAACUGCUUUUGUGGACUUCAACCCACUGAUUAUAACGCAACCUCACAUAGUUGCCUGCUAUAAACGCACAUGGUAAUUGGAACUUCCAUUUGAACUCUUCUGCUCUAAUAUCAAGAUAUGCUCCUCAUAAGCCAAAACGGCAGAGCACCUGGUUUACGGAUGAUUCAAUGGUUGAGCAAUCAGGUUGAAGGAGUAAAUUAUUGGUUCGUUGCGUGUAUACACUGCACCUAGGCACAGAAAUAGUGAAGGCAUCUAAUAUAUCUCAAGGGACGAGAGAUGUUUACUGGCUCAACUAAGAAAUCUGAGCAAGCUGGCGAUAAAAGAUGCAUUAGAGGCUUGAUCAUGGAUAAAGCUCGUUCCUUUGAGUUGUCAACUCAGUUGAUUCAGAGCUUGGUGUUAACCGAGUUUCUCUUAAAGCUUAAUCUAAUUUGAGUUCUUUGAGCGUAAUUAUAAUAGCUUGUAUACAGACCUUUUAACUUGUUAACUGCUACUUCUGAUUAUUAGAAAAUCUAGAAUGAUCAUCUGAUGUUGCCAAAUAAAUGCCUAGCUGUAGCCGUAUAUCAUGUCAGGGAGAGUAAUUGUCAGAUGAAUCAGUUCGAUUAAUCUGGGUUACAUGUGGAUUUGUUAUUCAUAGCUAACAGCUGGCGAACUAAUGAGAUGGAGACAUUUAUAAUGAAACUGUGGUGGCAGGUAGCAUAAUGAGAUGCUUUUGCAACAGUAUGAUUGCCACAUACAUUUUAAACCCUUCGAAAACUACUUCUGGUAAAAGCCAUGAAAGCUCUCCUGCUGUAUUCACCAUGUAAAGGAUGUCACAUUCAUAUUUUUAUAAAGACUAUCCGCUUGUAAUCACACGAAGGAGUUGGUAAAGGCAGAUGCUUGAUGGCCAUAUACCUCCUUAGAAAAUUGAUUCCAAUACAAAGGAUGAAAUCUGGUCUA
Molecule: long non-coding RNA, 1593 nt
Organism: Asparagus officinalis (garden asparagus)
Lineage: Eukaryota; Viridiplantae; Streptophyta; Magnoliopsida; Asparagales; Asparagaceae
Exons: 2
Source: RefSeq, a predicted model, not a curated record